Molecule: long non-coding RNA, 479 nt
Filed under: Ananas comosus (pineapple)
Lineage: Eukaryota; Viridiplantae; Streptophyta; Magnoliopsida; Poales; Bromeliaceae
Description: long non-coding RNA (ACOM_LNC026610)
Source: RNAcentral
ACUACCUUAUCUCCGCUUAAGUUUAUCUUAAAAUUAGAAAAAAUUUUAAAUACCAUUUCUCACUUUACUAUUCUAUAGUUUUAAAGUAUAUCACUUUCGUACCAUAUAGUUUUAUUUUUCUCCUUUUUUAUUCUCUUUACUAUUUUUUUUGUUAAAUCAGUAACAAAGUUAAAACUAAAAAGUAUUAAAACGAAUAUUCGAUAAACUAUAUAUAAAGUAUCUGAAGUUUUUUUGUAUAUGAUUUAACGAAAAGUUAACAGAGGAACUGACGAAAAGAAAUAAAUGAAACCACAGGAUACUAGAUUGAUACAUUUUAAACCACGAGAUACUAAAGUGAGAAAGUGUGAAACCACAAUGUGGUAUUUGAAGUUUACCCUUAAAAUUAAUUUUGAAUCUAAAUUUAAGCUCAAUGUCAACUUGAUAUUAAUUCGAACUAAGCUUGAGCGAGUCUAACUUGGAGUCAAGCGAACUCAAGCCCU